UACGUAGGGUCCGAGCGUUGUCCGGAAUUACUGGGCGUAAAGAGCUCGUAGGUGGUUUGUCGCGUUGUUCGUGAAAACUCACAGCUCAACUGUGGGCGUGCGGGCGAUACGGGCAGACUGGAGGUAUGCAGGGGAGAACGGAAUUCCUGGUGUAGCGGUGAAAUGCGCAGAUAUCAGGAGGAACACCGGUGGCGAAGGCGGCUCUCUGGGACAGUACUGACGCUGAGACGCGAAAGCGUGGGGAGCGAACAGG
Molecule: ribosomal RNA, 253 nt
Filed under: uncultured bacterium
Lineage: Bacteria
Description: partial 16S ribosomal RNA
Rfam family: Bacterial small subunit ribosomal RNA
Source: RNAcentral